UUAGCGCAGGCACCCGCACGACCUUGCCUCCACCCACGGCGCGCCGCCACCUCCUACCCAGUGCCGCCGGCCAACUCCAUGCCGUUGAGCGCCGCCACCGCCUACCCUCCUCCCAUCGGGACCCCUUGAUCCAAAAAUCCAUCCAUCCAGUCCUCUCCUCGAUUUCCAAACAGAGCCUGGCGGCGGCCUCCCUGCGCGGCUGUGCCCCCCGUGCCUCUGCCUCACUAAGCGUCUGACCCGGCCGCCGUCCAUUGCCCGCACCAGCCCACCCCUCGCCUCCACUGCCGCUCCUCGCCCUUCUCUAUCGGACCUCGCCGCCUCUGACCUUUGGUCCUACGCCACCAUCUGGAUCUCUCUCCACACCUCGCCAGCAGUCUGCCAGACGCCCUCCUCGCCCAAGUGUGUUGGCCUCGCUGAUCCAACGGCUGCUCUUGCCCCUGUACUCACCGGUGUCGCGGCCUAAGUCGCCCGCCGAGCGCAACAAUGCAGCAAUCGCUGCCGUGAGCCUGCAAUCACUCCUUUUAGGCUUGCUGGUUGCCGUUCCAAUUGAUAUCGCCGCCACCUGAGACAACCCCUCAGCAUGCCAAUGCCCGCGGGCCACAGAUGCAGCGGCCUUGACAAGUCAGCCAUGACGCACAUCCGCGCGUUGCUUGAGCAUGAGGGUUGGGAAAGCAUCGAGCAGGCGGUUAUCCGGUAGGCGUCGUCGCAGAGCGUCGUGGACAUUUAGAGGAGGAGAUCCAUAUCAAACGCCUUACCAUGAGCAGACUGCCAAAAUUCUUCAUGGAGGCCUCCACUGACUGAAAGAGGUAUGCCAUCUCUAUGCUCUGCAUCACUAAACUGAAAUAUAUCUGCAGAUUUAGCAAAUGUUUGUCUCGAGGUCUGCCUGAGACCACGAGCCAUUAUAGUUCCAGAGCUUAAUUGUUUUUGCUCUGUGGAGAUUGCAAGAUAUUGACGCCUCAUACUUAGGAAGCAAGUUAAGACAGUCCUACACCAUUUUGCUUUGCACAGGCAGGUGGUUUUGAUAAUAUAGUUCAUGUGUGAGUUUCAUCCAAGGUUGGUCAAUUUUGCACUCAUUUUGGAUAUGAAGGUUAAUAACUGUAUACAUCAAGAAUCCUUAGGUUUGCACACCAUACUCCAUGCUGCUUUGUUAAGUCUCCCCCUCUCCAUGAACAUUGCCUUCUUUAUUUGUCAAUUUUCUCAUUAAUAUAUUUGUAUACCAUAAGGGAACAUAGAUGAGAAGUAUAGAAUGAGGUCAUGGUUGCACAUACCAUCUGUAGUUUUUCUUAUGUGGCUUAGAAACCGAGUAUAGCUCUGAACUGUAAGCUGGCUCAACACUGUAUCUUCCAAUGUUUCAGGGUGUCUUCAGUUUAAAGCUAAGCUAAGGCUAUUUUCCUAAAAUAAUUCAAGGCAAACCAAUGCCAAAGGUCAUGGGACCCCAUGGACCUAGGUCCACCUAAACAUAACUUAACCGGGAUAAGGCUCAGCUUAAAUAAUUUUAGAAAGUUUCACACUUGAUGUAAAAGAUUAUAGUUCAGUGUUCAAGUUGGACCAAGAUUUAAUAGUAGAGAUUGCUUGGAUUAAGUGGGGGUGAAGAUCUUCUUGUUAUCUAUAUCUGAAAUGAAAAACCUGAUGAAGAUCCUCCGGAGGUGUUUCACAUGUGCCUCUUCCUCCCUGAACAGGGCCAUCAAAUAAGUAGUCAAGGAAGCAAAAACAUUGAUACAUGGCACUCCUCCAGUGUGCAUGCCCAAUAUAAUGUCAAAAUGGUAGUAGCUUCUUAUUCUUCGGAAAGUAAAUGUAAACAUUUGUUGUAAGAUUUUAGUGAAGGUACGAUUUUUAUGUGAGAUAGUAGGUGUGUUAUAUUUACAAAACAAGGUUUUGUACUCCUAAUUCUAAUAUUUUGUGCCUCGCGUCUAAA
This is a long non-coding RNA of Triticum aestivum (bread wheat), 1915 nucleotides long. RefSeq lists it as uncharacterized. The transcript has 2 exons. NCBI's taxonomy places the organism in Eukaryota, Viridiplantae, Streptophyta, Magnoliopsida, Poales, Poaceae. The record is from RefSeq and is a predicted model, not a curated record.